GUCAACAUGCAUAUGCUUCUCCUGUUGCUGCUGCUCUCUGGGGCGUGCUGUGAUCUCACUUUCUUCCCCCCUCCAGCUCCGUGAACAACUCUCCCUUAAUGGAUCUGACAGUUACCUGCCGUUUGGACUCAGGCAUACCAAUGCAUGGAGUAAAGACGAGUUAACAGUUUUGUCCUGACUGAACAUCAGCUUCGGAAAUGUAUCUGGAAAGUUCUGAGCAAGGUAAAGUCUCUGGAGAAGGAGAGCUGUCUGCUGAAGCCAUCCUUGCUGAACAAUGUGUGAUUCCCAAACCAACAGAGGCUACUGUUUUCAGUGGUCCUUCAAAGGACCGCACUGACUUGGGCAUUAAGGUCCUAAUGGCAUACACCGACCAGAUUUUCAACGGAGAAAUGGACCGUCCUCUCAUUUGUGAGAAAAAUGGCAAUUUAAUCACAGCAGAAGUUGACUCUGGCAUGUACUGUAACAGACAAUCUGAGAACUUCAUACAGCAUCCAGCAAGCAAUGGGUGUUUUGAAUCUGGACAGACUCUCAAUGAGAGGCCUGUGGAGCUAUGCCAGCCAUUUCACAAACGUGCUCAACACUGUGAGUCCUCUGAUAACUGUGCUAAUCAUAGUUUAGCCUCUGAAUGCAGCCUUUGCUGUCCAGAUCACCUCCAGUUAUUCCAGCAAUGUGACCCUGAUAAUCAACAGACUUCUGUUGGUGAGUCGGAUGAACUGGAAGAGAGUUGUGAAAACUUUAAUUUCGGAAAGUCCAGUGUAACUCCUGAAUGCACAGAUGACUUGGAGUUGCUACAAUACGAGCCCUUAGAUCAGCAGGGUGACUCCUAUGAGCAAGACACAUCAACAGAGGAUUUAGAAGAGGGCUAUGGACUGAGCUCUGACUCACUGGAGUCAUUGGACAUGGGCAAUGUGUUGUGGGAUUGUGAAAAAUCUCAGGCUGAAGUUGAAUAUAAAAAUAACGAUGGGGACGAAGAUAACGAGAGCUGUGAAUCAGAACAAAAUGAAGAGAAAAACAGCAAUGAAGACUUUUACAAACUACCUGAGGACACCUCCAUCCAGGAUUUUGAUGAUUUUGCCACCUUUGUGAGAGACUUUUCUGAGACAUGCAUGUACUCAGAAGAAAGCUACCAACCAGGUUCCACAACAGAAAUGCUGAGCAAGAGUGGAGAUGAUCUAAACCCAAUUGAUCAGAGUGACUGUGAGAGCAACAGUGAAAUCUGCGCCGAUGAAGAGGAUUGCUUCCAGGACAGUGCUCUUUCAUCUGACUCUAUCUGGGAUUCAUCUGAGGCAUCUGGUAAAGGAGCUAAGGAAGUUUCUAGCAAGGAGCAGGAUGAAGAAAACCUGCAAAUCAACACCAAAGAAACCAACGGGGAAAAAAAUAACCCAACCUGUGCCAAUGUCAUCACUGAAUUCUUUUUUGACUUGUUCGACAGAGCAGACUCUUACGGACACAUGUUCGCGCAAAAGCAUCACUACAUCUCGUGCUUCGAAGGGGGGGACAUUCACCACCGUUUGCAUCUUGAAGAAGACUCUCAAAGAUGUGAAGUCAAAGCUGCAUGUGUCGAUGAUCCAGACAAUGAAAGUAAAACUGAAUUAGAUGAUGGAGUUGAUGAAGUUAAUCCUAGAGGUCAAGAAAAAUUGGAAUUAAGUGAUUCGGAGAAUCAGUUUGAUGACUGGAAUGAAAAAACAGAUUUAGCAGAAGAAGUUGAGGAAAAUGAAGAUGAAACCUUCGCAACUAACUCAGAGAACACUGAGGAUGAAGAGGAGAAUGACAUCUUGGAUAAAGAUGAAGCUAGCAAGUUUGAUGAAUGUGCGUCAGACCUAUAUGAUGAUGAACCUGAGGUCUGUCUGGACCACGAAGAGAAAAUGUUUGCACCAUGUGCCAAAGAAAUCUCCAUAGAAGGAGAAGUUUACAAGGUCUCAGAGAGUCUAAAUCACAAGUCCUACGUUGAGGCUUCCUUCAUCACAGAUAAAACGGAGACAAGUCCUGAUCAGAAGGAUAGCGAUAAACCAGAGCUUGACGAUAGUUUUUAUCCAACAUGUUCAGAAAUGGAGCCAUACUGGGCGUUACUGGAUGAUGAGGAAAUUUGCGAGCCAGACGUGGAGGAAUACUUUGCAUAUCAGAUCAAAAGUUUGCAGACAUCUGGGAAACAAACUCUCUAUGGAUUUAUUUUAGAGACCAAGGGUGAAAAAAAUAGCACUUCUUAUGAUAAGACUGAUGAGGUAUUUUUAUCUUUAAGAAAAACGGAAUCUCGUGAUUCAUUGAUCUCAGAUGAGCACGGAUCAGACCGAUUUGAAAUUAGUGAUGUACUGGAGUGGAGCUCCUGCCUUGAAGAAGAAUCCCCUCAAGAAUCAGAUGAUGAGUGUGAGCUGAGUGACAUUUCUGGGGAAAUAAACCCCCCGCUCGAUAUUAUUCACAGCGUUGUCCUAAAGCAUGCUUAUGAGUCCACACAAAGCAUGGAUACAGAAGAGGAGCAGAGUGAUGAUGACUCCUAUGACAACUGUGAAUGCGAACACUGCAUUCCCUCAACACAACAGGUUGAAGCCAAACCGCUCCUUCCGCAAAUGGAAUCAAGUGAUGCAGGGAAGAUCUGUGUGGUCAUUGAUCUCGAUGAAACUCUGGUACACAGCUCAUUCAAGCCGAUGAAUAAUCCAGAUUUUAUCAUUCCAGUGGAAAUAGAAGGAAAACUACAUCAGCUGAGAAAACAGAUAGAAGCUGAGAGCAUCUUGUGUUGGACAGUUUUUAGAGCGACAACAGUGAUGACCAACUCCUUGAGGUGUAUGUCCUUAAGAGGCCACAUGUCGAUGAGUUCCUCAAGAGGAUGGGAGAACUGUUUGAGUGCAUUCUGUUCACUGCAAGCUUAUCUAAGUAUGCAGACCCUGUGUCAGACAUGCUGGAUAAAUGUGGAACCUUCAAGAAUCGUCUCUUCCGAGAAGCAUGCGUCUUUCAUAAAGGGAACUAUGUGAAAGACCUGAGCCGUUUGGGACGGGACCUAAACAGGGUUAUCAUCAUAGACAACUCCCCAGCUUCCUACAUAUUCCACCCUGAAAACGCGGUUCCUGUCGAGUCCUGGUUUGAUGACAUGUCAGACACUGAGCUCCUGGAUCUCAUCCCCUUCUUUGAGAAGCUUAGCAAAGAAGGGGGCAUCUAUGAUAUUUUGAGGGAGCAGAGGAUUUCCAGUUAACAGACGGAGAACACUUGGAGGAAGAAGAUCCCCAUUUAAAGACAUCACAGGGCCAUGGAGGCUGUAGAGCCACAGGCUCCAUAGUGCUUCCCAUUACAAGGACCACAUUAAAAAUAACAAUAGAAAAGAAAUGUGUGAGAUCAUGUUUUUAGAUACAUUUUUUAAUUGUUUGGAAUGCAAGAUCUGUACUUUAACAUGAAGCUAAAGAGCAAGUGUGGAAUUGUUUUGCCGUAAUAGCAUAGUGAUAUAGCAAGUAUGGUGAUGUUGCAGUUGUCGUAACAAUGGGAAAAGUCUACUGCAAAGCUAGCUUUGAAUAGGAUAUUUGUAUAGCUACACUACUUUAGGUCUUUAAAACCCUUGUGCUAUCUUAGAAGACCCCACCCUUAUUUUGACAUGUUCUCCCUACCAUGACAAAGGUGGAUAAAAGUGGAAAGAUUUCAUGUAAUCCAUGGACACCAGUGAAGAUCACAAAUCAUUGAAGAAAAAAGGUUUAGCGCACUGUCUAGUGGGUCUAGAUGACCCAACUCGCAAUGUUAAAAUGCCUGGGAUAGCACAAGGGUUACAAGCAAACAAGCACAUGCAAAAACAAAACUGUCACUCUGGAGACCUAAUAAUCUAUCUAAAUGUGGAAUUUUGCUAAAUCUGGCAACAUGGUUUUACUACAUGUUUUUUAAAAAUCAAAUCUAGUUUGUAAACCGCAUCAAAAAAUGUUACAAAUUGUUAAACAAAUUUUUUUUCCCUGUUAGAUCAACAACAAAAUGUUAAGCAUGGUUGCCUGUGGUUAUGUAGCGCUUUCGAAAUAAGAGCGACACAAAAUGUUUCUGGCGUGACUGGAUUUUUCACAUGCAAAUGUGUCUCUGCGGAAAAGCGGAAGCUUGUAUUUCUAUGUACAUAUCCAACUAUUUAGUUGUUGUUCUGAAUUAUUUCUUUUUGUUUUGGACUGUCGGAAUCAUUUCAUGCUUUUACUUGUUGGUUGUAUUGCCAACCCAGUAUGGAGUAACAAUGCUUCCUGAGCUCAGACGGAGGCUGUGAGGUUUCGAGUCUUGACUUAAUGUCUUUAGUUUGUAGCCGAUAUUCUUUAGUUACAGUUUAUGGACAUAUUAAGUGUGAACAAAUGACUUGUUAAAAAAAUAAAUAAAAGAAUGUUGCAUUUUC
This is an RNA transcript of Oryzias latipes (Japanese medaka), 4339 nucleotides long. RefSeq lists it as uncharacterized. The record is from RefSeq and is a predicted model, not a curated record. NCBI's taxonomy places the organism in Eukaryota, Metazoa, Chordata, Actinopteri, Beloniformes, Adrianichthyidae.